RNAcentral lists this ribosomal RNA (253 nucleotides) under uncultured bacterium. RNAcentral's name for it is "partial 16S ribosomal RNA". It matches the Rfam family "Bacterial small subunit ribosomal RNA", at positions 524 to 776 of the family's 1533-position model. The record is from RNAcentral.
UACGUAGGGGGCAAGCGUUGUCCGGAUUCAUUGGGCGUAAAGAGCGUGUAGGCGGCCAGGCAGGUCGGUUGUGAAAACUGGAGGCUCAACCUUCAGACGUCGACCGAAACCAUCUGGCUAGAGUCCGGGAGAGGAGAGUGGAAUUCCUGGUGUAGCGGUGAAAUGCGCAGAUAUCAGGAAGAACACCCGUGGCGAAAGCGGCUCUCUGGAACGGUACUGACGCUGAGACGCGAAAGCGUGGGGAGCGAGCAGG